Pyrus x bretschneideri (Chinese white pear) is the source of this 460-nucleotide long non-coding RNA. RefSeq lists it as uncharacterized. The record is from RefSeq and is a predicted model, not a curated record. The transcript has 2 exons. Lineage: Eukaryota; Viridiplantae; Streptophyta; Magnoliopsida; Rosales; Rosaceae.
CAAAAGCCAGCCCUAAUCCCUUUCUAUCUCCCCACUCCCGUAACCCUCUCUCCCAACCCGCCGCCUGUUCUUCCUGGCCCCUCUCUCCCGCCGUAUGCUCUUCCGGUAGCCUCUCUCAGCAUCUCUUUUCUCCUCCCUCGUGCAGUGGACGCGACAGAAUCAUUCUUGAUCUUGUCAUCUCUGCUCUGGUCGUCUCUAGAUCUCUGCAUUCUCCAGAUUCCACUUCAGCAAUGGAUGCUAAAGAUUCAGAUUCAGUAAACGAUGACGAGUCAGUGGAGAUUAUACUGGCCUUUCAAGCCACCGUGAUUUCAAGAUGGCCUUUGCUAUGCUGCAUAUGGAGAAUAGCCUUGUCACUUAUAGUACCUUAAUAAACGCAAAAAUUAAACAGAUAGAAUAAAUCGCCAAUUAUUUUAUGAGAGACCAUCACUAUACCAACAAAUAAUAUUACUAUUUGGAAGCA